Molecule: long non-coding RNA, 692 nt
Organism: Peromyscus eremicus (cactus mouse)
Lineage: Eukaryota; Metazoa; Chordata; Mammalia; Rodentia; Cricetidae
Exons: 2
Source: RefSeq, a predicted model, not a curated record
GUCACGGUAACUAGGGAGAAGAGAAGACAAGAGAAUUCAUAAACAGAGGCUUCCAUGGCUAGAAUGUCCCAUGCCAGCUUCUCUCUGGGCAGGGAGGAUGAGCAUAUGCUUCAUUGGUGUAUAUUCUAAACCAACUUGACAGCAUCGUUUCCAAAUGGAAGAGAACCUUGGGCUGCCGUGACAGCAGAUGGCCUGAGCCAACUCCAAAUCUCUCAAUGGAGAUGGAUAUUUUUGGUGUUACUCGAGUACUCUGUAGGCUGUUUGGUGACCUUUACUAGGCUCUGCAAUACGAAGCUUCUGAAGAAAAAAUAAAGGAUGCCAAGUUCCUUCCUGGCUAGGUUAUCACUGUCUUUGCUUUGAGUUUCCUUUCAGGACACAGAACCAGGUUGAUCAUGGCAUCAUGUAUGUAGAAGUAUUUCUUCAUGCUGCUCUUUGAAAGCACUUGUUUAAAAGGCCCAGCCUCCCUAGAUACUGGGGACUGUUUUUCUAGUCUACUCAGAUCCACAUGUGUUCCGUUUUAUAACACGACCGCAGCCAGAUGUGCUUCUAAAUGUGUGUUUUUAAACGUCAAGCCCAGCUAUAUGAAAUCUUCACCGCAGCACUGACUGAUGGGCAGGGGUGGGGCGUUUAAGCCUUUUUACAUCUGUCCGUAAGUCAGGCCAGCAAUGGAAAUAGAGGUGCCCAGCGCUCUC